UACAGAGGGUGCGAGCGUUAAUCGGAAUUACUGGGCGUAAAGCGCACGUAGGUGGCGACGUAAGUCGGGUGUGAAAGCCCCGGGCUCAACCUGGGAAUUGCAUUCGAGACUGCAUUGCUGGAGUACGGAAGAGGAGGGCGGAAUUCCCGGUGUAGCGGUGAAAUGCGUAGAUAUUGGGAGGAACAUCAGUGGCGAAGGCGGCCCUCUGGUCCAGUACUGACACUCAAGUACGAAAUCGUGGGGAGCAAACAGG
RNAcentral lists this ribosomal RNA (253 nucleotides) under uncultured bacterium. RNAcentral describes it as "partial 16S ribosomal RNA". It matches the Rfam family "Bacterial small subunit ribosomal RNA", at positions 524 to 776 of the family's 1533-position model. The record is from RNAcentral.